This 483-nucleotide ribosomal RNA is filed under the name uncultured bacterium. Its description in RNAcentral is "partial 16S ribosomal RNA". It matches the Rfam family "Bacterial small subunit ribosomal RNA", at positions 30 to 506 of the family's 1533-position model. The record is from RNAcentral.
AUUGAACGCUGGCGGCAGGCCUAACACAUGCAAGUCGAGCGGAUGAAGGGAGCUUGCUCCUGGAUUCAGCGGCGGACGGGUGAGUAAUGCCUAGGAAUCUGCCUGGUAGUGGGGGAUAACGUCCGGAAACGGGCGCUAAUACCGCAUACGUCCUGAGGGAGAAAGUGGGGGAUCUCCGGACCUCACGCUAUCAGAUGAGCCUAGGUCGGAUUAGCUAGUUGGUGGGGUAAAGGCCUACCAAGGCGACGAUCCGUAACUGGUCUGAGAGGAUGAUCAGUCACACUGGAACUGAGACACGGUCCAGACUCCUACGGGAGGCAGCAGUGGGGAAUAUUGGACAAUGGGCGAAAGCCUGAUCCAGCCAUGCCGCGUGUGUGAAGAAGGUCUUCGGAUUGUAAAGCACUUUAAGUUGGGAGGAAGGGCAGUAAGUUAAUACCUUGCUGUUUUGACGUUACCAACAGAAUAAGCACCGGCUAACUUCGU